Molecule: long non-coding RNA, 167 nt
Organism: Etheostoma spectabile (orangethroat darter)
Lineage: Eukaryota; Metazoa; Chordata; Actinopteri; Perciformes; Percidae
Exons: 3
Source: RefSeq, a predicted model, not a curated record
CUUACCCAUCCUACCAGUUCCCAUGGCCACUUGGUCAGUGCAAAUGCAAAUGGAAAAAGCGGUUUUGUGGGAGAGUAGGUAGUAGAACGGAUUAGAAGUGGACUGUUCUUAUAACUACGUUUCUGUAACUACUUGGUCGGAAAGAGGCUAAUGCUGUGUUCCAGGCA